GUUAUUCUUUCUUUGGAACAGUUUUCCCUGUUGGUUAAGUGUGCCACGCUGUGGCUUAGAAGCAGGACCAGCAUCUACUGAGAGCUCCUUGGGAUAAACACACACACACACACACACACCGGGGUUGGUUUGCAAAUACCUGCCUGUCGGACCAAAUUGGGGAGGGGAAGAAUUCUGGCAAGGAUGGUCUUCCCCUACGGUAGAGAAAGGCAGUCUUUUGGGCAGUGCCAACAGGUCUUGUAAUGCCGAGGCCCACAUUAAAUGGAGGCUGUGUUGCCACCUGGGACACAGGGCGAGGUGGUGACCCAACGGCUUUAAGAAGAAGAAUCCUGGCUUAAACACACAGAGAAGAUUAUCUCUUGGCAAUAAUAAUUAGUAGGUGGAGGGAAGGGUUGGGCUGCCCUUUGCGUAGAAGUUGUAGGACGCAAAUAUCUUAGGGAGGUUGGGUUGGCCGACAUGGAGGACUUUGUGGAGGCCGAUGGGAUGAGACACAGGGAUCGGGGUUAGGGAAAGAAAGAUGAUGGAUCGAGAUUCGAGAGGAGAAGGAGGGAGGGCCCAUCUUGAUUCCAUCCUUUUACGCCAUGGGGGAACUCCUGCAGCCCCAAGUCUUCCAGUGAGGUCUUCUCUUCGACCACCCACCCCUGAUGCAGAGGAGCCUGGUUUUUGUGUGUGUCCGUGUGUGUGUGUGGAACCAUGGCAGAGGGAGGGAGAGCAUUGCUUUACUGGGGUCCUCCUUCCUUCCCAAAAGGCCAACCCAGCAUUUCUACCCACCCACCCACAAUAUUGCCAAGAACGUUGAGGUUCCUCAGAAAUUUGGUGGGGGGUUCGUUCAUGAGAAAAAGCCAGGAAAACAAGCGCUUCUUGAGAGACCCAUGUGCUUGGCUUUCCCGUGGAAAGUCUGGGUUCAGGCUGGAAGCGCUUCUCGAGAGACCCGUGUGCUUGGCUUUCCCGGUCUUCCCGUGGAAAGUCUGGGUUCAGGCUGGGCCCCCAUGAGCCCUUUGGGCUGGCUCUGGGCCAGGGAGAGGUGUGGCAGGCGUACCUGUGACUUCAGGUGCAUCCUGCAACGCCCCCCCCCCCGUUGGUCAUCAGAGGGAGGCUCAUGCCUGGGUUCUUCAGCAGGCUGCGAGAGACCCGUGUGCUUGGCUUUCCCGGUCUUCCCGUGGAAAGUCUGGGUUCAGGCUGGGCCCCCAUGA
This 1193-nucleotide long non-coding RNA is filed under the name Pogona vitticeps (central bearded dragon). Its description in RNAcentral is "lncRNA (ENSPVIG00000024734.1)". The record is from RNAcentral. Lineage: Eukaryota; Metazoa; Chordata; Lepidosauria; Squamata; Agamidae.